GGGCUCGCGUCAGCAGCACAUAUGCUAAAAUUGGAACGAUACAGAGAAGAUUAGUGACAUUAAACAUUUAUGUAAAAGAAAACCCAACAGUGACCAACCAUUUUU
Small nuclear RNA from Nomascus leucogenys (northern white-cheeked gibbon), 105 nucleotides. Lineage: Eukaryota; Metazoa; Chordata; Mammalia; Primates; Hylobatidae. The record is from Ensembl.